CCAGGGUCAAGGGAGUGGUUUCCUGCCUUUGGAAGCAGCUGGGGACAAAGCCAGUUCCUCUGAGGAGUCAACCCAAUCCUUAACCAGAACUAAGAGCCCCUGGGAGAUCAGGCACAUCUUUAUUACUCUUGUCUCAAAGAAAAAAAAAGGUUUCAGAUCAACCAACAAAGAAAACGUAUACAAGAUCUGGCUCCUGCAGCCCCCCACCCCCAUACUGGAGGAGAGGGAAGUGAAUUUUAUCUCCUCUCCUACAGAACUAAUUCUGCUCAUUGCCUUUAGUUUGAAUUCAACUGAAGAGACCAUUAGACUCAGGAGACUUGAAUCUAAUUCCCAUCUCUGACAAGUACUGUCUGUGUGACCCUGGAGAAGUCACUUAAUCCUUCUGUGCCUCAGUUUCAUUGUCUGUAAAAUGAGGAUAUUAUUUGUGGUCCUUACCAGGAAGCUCACCUGAGAUAAUAUGUGUAGAGUACUUUGCAAACAUUAGAGUGGCUACAUAAAUGGGAUCUACCACCACCACCAUCAGCAUCAUCCUCCUGGGUCUAUUUUCUUUAUUUUGAAUGCUAGUUUCCUCAUGAUAACUGAGUAAUCUGGUGACAUUUGUAUCCAAGGAUCUAUAGGGAUCAUGUAUAUUUAAGUUCAGCAUUUGAUUUGGAGCUUUUCUAUGACUCGAUUAAAAUGGCCAAUUACUUCCUCCAACCCCUGGAGCUGAGCUGGGGGAGGAGCUGGCCCAGAGUUCCAUCUCAGGCUUUUCUCUCCAAUCCUCAACCCAGAGCAAGUCUGACGUUUUCAGCCUUGUAAAAAAUUAAAUACAGAAGGGAGGUCAGCAGCCAAUUCUUCCUAAGAGAUGGGUUUACAUUUAUUUCUCUUUGUGCCCCAUUCUGAAAUCCUUAAUCAAACCAACUUCCCCCAAGUCACUGUGAAGUUGAUGUUAAUUGGAGUUUUGCCUGGAGAAUAAGGACUGUACCCUGCAGGCUGUUGCUUCCUCUUGCUUAAUAACCUCACCAAAUCUUAUUUUGAAAAGGUUAAUUGCAAUUUUUUUUAGCUUUUACUUUUUUUCUUGGGAAAAUGGCCUUUUGUAACCAAAUCUGUACACACGGUGCAAAUUUAAUAAUUGGUCAAGAGAUAAAACCUAACUGCUUCAGAAAUAGACUUGAAAUCUGAUUGAAAAUUGGCACUGAAGAGGGAGGCUCAAAUGAAGCACUUGAAAAAAAAAUGUGUCAUCUAGGAAAACCUAUAUUUCUUUUUUUUAAAAUUAAUUAAUUUAUUUUUAGUUCUUAACAUUCACUUCCAUGAGAUUUUGAGUUCCAAAUUUUCUCCCUAUCUCUCCCCUCCCCCCUUCCCAAGAUAGCAUGCAAUCUGAUAUAGGCUCUAUAGUGAACCUAUUUUCACAUUACUCACAUCAUUAAGAAGAAUUAGAACCAAUGGGAGAAACCAUGAUAAAGAAGAAACAAACAAACAAAAAAAGAAAAUAAAGAGAGAUCUGCUUUGAUCUGCA
This 1495-nucleotide long non-coding RNA is filed under the name Phascolarctos cinereus (koala). Its description in RNAcentral is "lncRNA (ENSPCIG00000009330.2)". Lineage: Eukaryota; Metazoa; Chordata; Mammalia; Diprotodontia; Phascolarctidae. The record is from RNAcentral.